AUCUUCCGUAAUGGACGAAAGUCUGACGGAGCAACGCCGCGCGAGUGAUGAAGGCUUUCGGGUCGUAAAACUCUGUUGUUUGGGAAGAACAAGUGCUAGUUGAAUAAGCUGGCACCUUGACGGUACCUAACCAGAAAGCCACGGCUAACUACGUGCCAGCAGCCGCGGUAAUACGUAGGUGGCAAGCGUUAUCCGGAAUUAUUGGGCGUAAAGCACGCGCAGGUGGUUUCUUAGGUCUGCUGUGAAAACCCACGGCUCAACCGUGGAGGGUCAUUGGAAACUGGGAGACUUGAGUGCAGAAGAGGAAAGUGGAAGUCCAUGUGUAGCGGUGAAAUGCGUAGAGAUAUGGAGGAACACCAGUGGCGAAGGCGACUUUCUGGUCUGUAACUGACACUGAGGCGCGAAAGCGUGGGGAGCAAACAG
RNAcentral lists this ribosomal RNA (423 nucleotides) under uncultured bacterium. Its description in RNAcentral is "bacterial SSU rRNA". It matches the Rfam family "Bacterial small subunit ribosomal RNA", at positions 361 to 775 of the family's 1533-position model. The record is from RNAcentral.